CGGACUGGAUUAUCUGCAGAUCAGCAUCGACAAUGUUCAACCCGACGAGGUUUCGAAGAAAAGCCUGAAGGUGCUCGAUCGCAAGCUCGAAUGGCUGGCAAAGCAUGCGGAGUUCGCGGUAACAAUAAAUUCCGUGCUGGGCAGCGAGGUCAGAAAUCCGGAGGACGCGUAUGAGAUCGCUACUCGCGCCCGCGGCCUCGGGUUCAACAGCACCGUUGGGAUUCUGCAUGACGGUGAGGGGCAACUCCGGCCGCUGGGUGACCAUCAGCGCUGGGUGUACGACAGGAGC
This 289-nucleotide unclassified non-coding RNA is filed under the name plant metagenome. Its description in RNAcentral is "partial contains 5.8S ribosomal RNA, internal transcribed spacer 2, and large subunit ribosomal RNA". The record is from RNAcentral.